CUACCUGGUUCAGCGGCGGACGGGUGAGUAAUGCCUAGGAAUCUGCCCGAUAGUGGGGGACAACGUUUCGAAAGGAACGCUAAUACCGCAUACGUCCUACGGGAGAAAGUGGGGGAUCUUCGGACCUCACGCUAUCGGAUGAGCCUAGGUCGGAUUAGCUAGUUGGUGAGGUAAUGGCUCACCAAGGCGACGAUCCGUAACUGGUCUGAGAGGAUGAUCAGUCACACUGGAACUGAGACACGGUCCAGACUCCUACGGGAGGCAGCAGUGGGGAGUAUUGGACAAUGGGCGAAAGCCUGAUCCAGCCAUGCCGCGUGUGUGAAGAAGGUCUUCGGAUUGUAAAGCACUUUAAGUUGGGAGGAAGGGCAGUAAGCUAAUACCUUGCUGUUUUGACGUUACCAACAGAAUAAGCACCGGCUAACUUCGUGCCAGCAGCCGCGGUAAUACGAAGGGUGCAAGCGUUAAUCGGAAUUGCUGGGCGUAAAGCGCGCGUAGGUGGUUCAGCAAGUUGGAUGUGAAAUCCCCGGGCUCAACCUGGGAACUGCAUCCAAAACUACUGAGCUAGAGUACGGUAGAGGGUGGUGGAAUUUCCUGUGUAGC
Molecule: ribosomal RNA, 600 nt
Filed under: uncultured bacterium
Lineage: Bacteria
Description: bacterial SSU rRNA
Rfam family: Bacterial small subunit ribosomal RNA
Source: RNAcentral